Long non-coding RNA from Meleagris gallopavo (turkey), 3383 nucleotides. RefSeq lists it as uncharacterized. Lineage: Eukaryota; Metazoa; Chordata; Aves; Galliformes; Phasianidae. The record is from RefSeq and is a predicted model, not a curated record.
CAGCCUUGAGUUACAACAUCGUCCUUCUCUUUGAAAACAAACAAGGUGCUGUCAAGGGCAGGGAGAACAUAGCCUCAUAUUAUAAAACUGGGGAUGAAAGCAUAUUUUCAAGAGAUGAAUGCUGUGCAAAGAGCUGAGUACAGACCAGGGAUGCAGUGCAAUUUUCAGAAAUUGAGGAUAAUGAAUGAAAUAUCUAUUUGUCUCUAAUCAUUUGUGGCACAUGGCUCUGUGAGAAAGUCGGGGUGGACUAAAACCUGAAGAGAAACUUUGCAGGAAACCUUGCCAUGCCUGAGUCAUGUGGAGAUCUGAAUCAGUGCCCCCCUUCCACCUCUGCCAUUCUAAGCAAUGAUCUGCAUCUCUUGAAGUUUAGAGAGGAAAUAUAUAUAAAGCCAGCACCAUGGUUCAGGAAGGAUGAGCCUGGUUGGACAGCAUCCAGAGGAGACCAACAAGGAUGAUCAGAAGUCGAGAGAAUGUGACUAAUGAGGAGAGAUUGAAGGAAGGGUGUUGUUUAGUCUGGACAAGAUCAGACUGAGAAGGGAUAUGAUAACAGUUUUUAAAUACAUAAAAAGAUAGAUGAAAAGGAAAAGAAUGGUUUGUUCUUUAUAUCCAACAUGCAGAAGACAAGACUUAAAGUGUUGCAAGGGACGUGCAGGUUAGAUAUAAUGAGAAAAUCCUUUCUAAUGGGAAAGAAAGCAAAGCCUGAGAAGUGAACUUCUUUGGACACUUAUAAGGGCAGGAUGGACACAACACAUCUCAGGAAUGACAAAGGACAGGUUUUGUCUAUAGGCAGACAGACAGAAUUGAUUGCCCUGAAACAAACCAAGCUGUACCUAAGCUAUGACAACCACUGCGGUAAUAAGUUCAAAGUUGUGCCCUCCUGAACAAAGAAUGAAAUUUCAUAGUCAAAAUACCAAAGUUCUCAGCACUGACCAUAAAUAUGUCAACCUGCAUUCACUUCUAGAAUAACAAAAAUCUAGUGAGGUGAAGAGGAGCUACUAAAAGCUAUGUCUAGGCUUACAGUCUAGGUAUUUGCUUGAUUUACACUAUGAAAAUAAUCUUUUUGAUAUAUUGCAUGCAGUAGCAUAUGCUAUAUAAGAACUGUUCAAAUGCAUGCUGGAGACUUUUGAGGACUUGUGUAGUGGGGUCCAGUCAAGUCAUUAUGGGAACCAGGUCCAACUCACAAAUACGAAAUCCUUGUAAAUCAGAUUGAAACUGCUCUUCAAAAUUCAUAUGAAGGGAUGUUCCACUCUGGGCUAAAGAAAUGCACUGAUCCCACACAAUGUACCACAGGCUGAAUAGGGCAAACCACCCACUAUCCUGUCCUGAUCUGGGGAGAAAUUUCAGAUUAUGCUCCAGUUGGAGAGAGGAAGGAGGAUGUUUCCAGGCCUCUGCUGGCAAGCAAGAUAAAUGAGCAAUUCCAUAGUUUUAGUCCAAGUUUAAUUUGCCUCUGCUCUGUGGGUAGGGGUGAGUUAUGAUACAACAUUUUGUCACAGAAGCUCAGCAAGGUGACUUCAUCAGCACCAAUGAGGAACUUUAGGUCUGUUGUAACAGCCACAGAUGGAGAUAAGGGCAGACUUGCUGUGCACAGAGGACCAAAAAUUUCCAUAAAUGUUUCUUUGUCCCUCCUCUGUACACCAUCCUCCCCUCUGACUGCCAAAGAAAAGAGCUCCUCAGAGGUUACCCUCUGCCUUUCCUGAACUCACAUGACUCCUGCUUUGGGUUCUUCACCCCCUGCGUUUAACCGAGGUUAUGAAAACCAAGAUGCUCGAUCUCUGUUUAUUUUCAGUGAUCUCUGUGUGCUGCCAGCAGCCAGAAUCAUGGCCUUUCCCAACACAGGGCAUCUCAGUGAGCUCAGAGUGCACCCAGUGAAGGGAGAAGUGCACGAGUCAGCAACCAGCUGAACUUAUGGAAAAAGCUAAGGUCAAGGCCUCACCAAGAUUUAAAGUGUUUGUGUCCAGGGUACCAGCGAUUGAGCGAAGGAUGUGUUUUUCUUGCUGUUCCAAGGCAGGGACCAGCAGCAACUGGGUUUUGCCCUGCAGCCAUUUCCAUACACUUGGGAUGUGCUGUGGGUGUGAAAUUGGUGGUUAAAGGAUCCAGGUAGGCCAGCCCCUGGAAAUUAGAUCGGCAGUCAUGUAUAAUGGUAGCAAAGCCCUGUGGAUUGAAAAGUAGUACUUUCAAAGCAUGCUUAGGUGACUACAGCCCAUUUUCAGGCAUGGUGGUGGAUUCAUAUUCUGUGAAACACCUCUAUUGGAAAACGGGAUCAAAAUACCUUUAACUCUCUGCAUUAAGUUAACUGAAAUCCCACUGAUUUUAACAUUAAUGAAACUUAUUUCCUUCCAUAGAAGCUUUAGGAGGAGGCCUGGUGAGAGAAACACUGGGUGAAAAAAGUUGGAACAAAAAUUAUAAAGGGAAUAGUUUAUAGAUGCACUGCUGGGUGAGAUCAGAAACUCAUCUAUUUAUCCCUGCUGUUUCACUGGCUUCUUUUUAGGUUUUGCCUUUUGCGGAAUACAUUUAAUCACUCUUGAAUGUCAGAAUACAAAUGUGAGUGAUGCUGUCCCAGAUGGCUAGCACAGAGCAUAGGCUUCUCACACAAAGCAGAGGACAUGAGCAAAAGCCAGGAGGAGGCUGUGUGAGUUCCAGCAGGGCUUUCUGCACUCAUCCCGUUUCAUGGCUUCCUUUGAGAUCUCAAGGCUGUGCAGAAGAAUCCUAGCUUGUGCUUCCCCAUUCAGCUGUGUCCCAAAAGGCUAACAUUCUUCCUAGCAAAGAUGCCCUAGGCUGGCUCUGCACUGCAAGCCUAUGUGCCUUCUACAGCAAGCAUCACAUCUACAUCAAGGGAGCACAGAAUCACAGAAUAUCCCAUGUUGGAAGGGACCCACAGGAAUCACUGAAUCCCUCUCCAGAGCUGGGUAGGAACAAGGCCAUAGGGAAGAAUUUACAUUGGCCAGCUCUGAGUUGCAGCAGCUGCUCAGCCCUCCAUGCAGAUGCACUAGGCAAGAGGUCAAGUUGUGCUUAGUAUCUUAACAUGCAGUUCAAUGAGAGGAAGCUCGUUUCUCUUGGCUGACUCUCCUACAGUGCUUUGUGGGGGUCAUUACACAGCUCUUCCUAUGGAUUGGUGGGGCCUCUCUUUCUCUCACUUGGCCACAAACCUACUGAAAAGGUGUAAAUCUUGACAGAAAAGGACUGAAAAUAGCUGGUAGUGGAAGACAAACAAAUGGAACACUUGUCCUUGUUUCCCCCAAAAGUGGAGGAUAAAACCAGAGCACAUGUUAAGUUUUGAAAUAAAAUGUCCCAUGCAACAGACUAUACUGGACUUGAAGUACCAUUUUUUCUUCUCUCCACAAUUUUUUGUUGAAGUCAUAGGAGUUGCCCUGGGCAAUACAGGG